RNAcentral lists this ribosomal RNA (237 nucleotides) under Cladosporium cladosporioides. Its description in RNAcentral is "partial 28S ribosomal RNA". It matches the Rfam family "Eukaryotic large subunit ribosomal RNA", at positions 1 to 233 of the family's 3401-position model. Lineage: Eukaryota; Fungi; Ascomycota; Dothideomycetes; Cladosporiales; Cladosporiaceae. The record is from RNAcentral.
GUUGACCUCGGAUCAGGUAGGGAUACCCGCUGAACUUAAGCAUAUCAAUAAGCGGAGGAAAAGAAACCAACAGGGAUUGCUCUAGUAACGGCGAGUGAAGCAGCAAUAGCUCAAAUUUGAAAUCUGGCGUCUUCGACGUCCGAGUUGUAAUUUGUAGAGGAUGCUUCUGAGUAACCACCGACCUAAGUUCCUUGGAACAGGACGUCAUAGAGGGUGAGAAUCCCGUAUGCGGUCGGA